RNAcentral lists this ribosomal RNA (253 nucleotides) under uncultured bacterium. Its description in RNAcentral is "partial 16S ribosomal RNA". It matches the Rfam family "Bacterial small subunit ribosomal RNA", at positions 524 to 776 of the family's 1533-position model. The record is from RNAcentral.
UACGGAGGGGGCUAGCGUUGUCCGGAGUUACUGGGCGUAAAGCGCGCGUAGGCGGCCAUUUAAGUCGGGUGUGAAAGCCCGGGGCUCAACCCCGGAUGCGCAUCCGAGACUGGGUGGCUGGAGUCCGGGAGAGGGCGGCGGAAUUCCCAGUGUAGAGGUGAAAUUCGUAGAUAUUGGGAAGAACACCGGUGGCGAAGGCGGCCGCCUGGUCCGGAACUGACGCUGAGGCGCGAAAGCGUGGGGAGCAAACAGG